CAGAGUUAGUGCUCCCCCGCAGCAAGUUCUCCCCUUCUUCCCGGGCACACUACGAGGCAUAUCUGUCAGAGUCCUCAAGUGAGACCGCAGACUCAGGCCAGCCGAAGCAUGCGGCUGGCGCUGUGCCACUAAAUCCCCAGCCCCAACUUUGCUAAAUUCUAAGAGGCAAGAAGUGUCUGAGUGUGAACACCGCUGUAAUCUUCAGAUUUGGCACCUUGGAACUUCUGGCUCUUCCUCAAAGUCAAAAUGAUCACAAAAGGUAAAUGCUUUAAAUUGAUUUAGGAUGUCAAGGCAG
Molecule: long non-coding RNA, 295 nt
Filed under: Chinchilla lanigera (long-tailed chinchilla)
Lineage: Eukaryota; Metazoa; Chordata; Mammalia; Rodentia; Chinchillidae
Description: lncRNA (ENSCLAG00000022377.1)
Source: RNAcentral